Molecule: ribosomal RNA, 643 nt
Filed under: uncultured bacterium
Lineage: Bacteria
Description: bacterial SSU rRNA
Rfam family: Bacterial small subunit ribosomal RNA
Source: RNAcentral
CAAAGGAAGCGAUUCCGGCGGGGGAUGGGCAUGCGGCGCAUUAGCUAGUCGGCGGGGUAACGGCCCACCGAGGCGACGAUGCGUAGGGGUUCUGAGAGGAAGGUCCCCCACACUGGUACUGAGACACGGACCAGACUCCUACGGGAGGCAGCAGUGAGGAAUAUUGGUCAAUGGGCGGGAGCCUGAACCAGCCAAGUCGCGUGAGGGAAGACGGUCCUACGGAUUGUAAACCUCUUUUGCCGGGGAGCAACGGGGUCCUUGCGAGGGCCCGAUGAGAGUACCCGGAGAAAAAGCAUCGGCUAACUCCGUGCCAGCAGCCGCGGUAAUACGGAGGAUGCGAGCGUUAUCCGGAUUUAUUGGGUUUAAAGGGUGCGUAGGCGGGCUGUUAAGUCAGCGGUCAAAUGUCGGGGCUCAGCCCCGGCCUGCCGUUGAAACUGGCGGCCUCGAGUGGGCGAGAAGUAUGCGGAAUGCGUGGUGUAGCGGUGAAAUGCAUAGAUAUCACGCAGAACUCCGAUUGCGAAGGCAGCAUACCGGCGCCCUACUGACGCUGAGGCACGAAAGCGUGGGUAUCGAACAGGAUUAGAUACCCUGGUAGUCCACGCAGUAAACGAUGAAUGCUAGCUGUCCGGUUCUACGGGACUGG